This 464-nucleotide ribosomal RNA is filed under the name uncultured bacterium. RNAcentral's name for it is "partial 16S ribosomal RNA". It matches the Rfam family "Bacterial small subunit ribosomal RNA", at positions 338 to 795 of the family's 1533-position model. The record is from RNAcentral.
CCUACGGGAGGCAGCAGUAGGGAAUUUUCGUCAAUGGGCGCAAGCCUGAACGAGCAAUGCCGCGUGAACGAGGAAGGUCUUCGGAUCGUAAAGUUCUAUUGAAGGGGAAAAAGAGCGGAGAGAGGAAAUGGUCUCCGAUUGAUAUUACCCUUCGAGGCAGUCACGGCUAACUACGUGCCAGCAGCCGCGGUAAUACGUAGGUGGCGAGCGUUAUCCGGAAUGAUUGGGCGUAAAGGGUGCGUAGGCGGCCUGCUAAGUCUGGAGUGAAAGGUACCGGCUCAACCGGUACAGGCUCUGGAAACUGGCGGGCUAGAGAGCAGGAGAGGGCGGUGGAACUCCAUGUGUAGCGGUAAAAUGCGUAGAUAUAUGGAAGAACACCAGUGGCGAAGGCGGCCGCCUGGCCUGUUACUGACGCUGAGGCACGAAAGCGUGGGGAGCAAAUAGGAUUAGAUACCCGGGUAGUC